RNAcentral lists this microRNA precursor (80 nucleotides) under Gyrodactylus salaris (gyrodactylosis fluke). RNAcentral describes it as "microRNA gsa-mir-184a precursor". Its record names the gene gsa-mir-184a. The record is from miRBase by way of RNAcentral. Lineage: Eukaryota; Metazoa; Platyhelminthes; Monogenea; Gyrodactylidea; Gyrodactylidae.
UCUUUAACAAUUUUCGUUACAUCAAUCUUGUUAGGAAUUGUAAUUUCUUAAAAAAGAUGGACGGAGAUUUGUUAAAGAUC